GAUGAACGCUGGCGGCGUGCUUAACACAUGCAAGUCGAACGGUAAAGCAGGAGCUUGCUCUUGUGGAUCAGUGGCGAACGGGUGAGUAACACGUGAGCAACCUGCCCCUGACUCUGGGAUAAGCGCUGGAAACGGCGUCUAAUACUGGAUAUGUGACGUGACCGCAUGGUCUGCAUCUGGAAAGAAUUUCGGUUGGGGAUGGGCUCGCGGCCUAUCAGCUUGUUGGUGAGGUAAUGGCUCACCAAGGCGUCGACGGGUAGCCGGCCUGAGAGGGUGACCGGCAACACUGGGACUGGGACACGGCCCAGACUCCUACGGGGGGCAGCAGUGGGGAAUAUUGCACAAUGGGCGGAAGCCUGAUGCAGCAACGCCGCGGGAGGGAUGACGGCCUUCGGGUUGUAAACCUCUUUUAGCAGGGAAGAAGCGAAAGUGACGGUACCUGCAGAAAAAGCACCGGCUAACUACGUGCCAGCCGCCGCCGUAA
Molecule: ribosomal RNA, 484 nt
Filed under: uncultured bacterium
Lineage: Bacteria
Description: partial 16S ribosomal RNA
Rfam family: Bacterial small subunit ribosomal RNA
Source: RNAcentral